RNAcentral lists this ribosomal RNA (292 nucleotides) under uncultured archaeon. RNAcentral's name for it is "partial 16S ribosomal RNA". It matches the Rfam family "Archaeal small subunit ribosomal RNA", at positions 339 to 631 of the family's 1478-position model. The record is from RNAcentral.
GCGAGAAACCUUUACAAUGUGCGAAAGCAUGAUAAGGGAACUCCGAGUGCCAGUAUCUAAUACUGGCUGUCCUUGUGCCUAAAACGCACAAGAUAGCAAGGGCCGGGUAAGGCCGGUGCCAGCCGCCGCGGUAACACCGGCGGCCCGAGUGGUAGCCGCUAUUAUUGGGUCUAAAGGGUCCGUAGCCGGUUCGAUAAGUCCUCUGGGAAAUCUGGUUGCUUAACAAUCAGACUGCCAAGGGAUACUGUCGAACUUGAGACCGGGAGAGGUAAGAGGUACUUCAGGGGUAGGA